RNAcentral lists this ribosomal RNA (951 nucleotides) under uncultured archaeon. RNAcentral describes it as "bacterial SSU rRNA". It matches the Rfam family "Archaeal small subunit ribosomal RNA", at positions 1 to 914 of the family's 1478-position model. The record is from RNAcentral.
CCGCACUAGUGAUUUUCCGGUUGAUCCUGCCGGACCCCACUGCUAUCGGGAUAGGACUAAGACAUGCUAGUCGAGCGCCUCCCAGCCACGACGGAGGCGCGGCGCACAGCUCAGUAACACGUGGCUAACCUGCCCUCGGGACGGGAAUACCCCCGGGAAACUGGGGCUAAUUCCCGAUAGGUGAAGAACUCUGGAAUGAGUCUCCGCCCAAAAGACGCUUAAAUCAUGCUUUUAGGCGCCGCCCAAGGAUGGGGCCGCGACCGAUCAGGUAGUUGGUGAGGCAACGGCUCACCAAGCCUUUAACCGGUGCGGGCCGUGGGAGCGGGAGCCCGGAGAUGGGCACUGAGACAAGGGCCCAGGCCCUACGGGGCGCAGCAGUCGCGAAAACUUUGCAAUACACGAAAGUGUGACAGGGCUAUCCCGAGUGCCAUCCGCUGAGGAAGGCUUUUACCCAGUCUAGAAAGCUGGGAGAAUAAGGAGAGGGCAAGUCUGGUGUCAGCCGCCGCGGUAAUACCAGCUCUCCGAGUGGUGUGGAUGUUUAUUGGGCCUAAAGCAUCCGUAGCUGGCCAAGUUAGUCCCCUGUUAAAUCCACCGAAUUAAUCGUUGGAGUGCGGGGGAUACUGCUCGGCUAGGGGACGAGAGAGGCCGACGGUAUUUUCGGGGUAGGGGUGAAAUCCUAUAAUCCCGGGAAGACCACCAGUGGCGAAGGCUGUCGGCUAGAACGCGCCCGACGGUGAGGGAUGAAAGCUGGGGGAGCGAACCGGAUUAGAUACCCGGGUAGUCCCAGCUGUAAACGAUGCAGGCUAGGUGUUUGGGCGGCCACGGGCCGCUCUAGUGCCGCAGGGAAGCUGUUAAGCCUGCCGCCUGGGGAGUACGGCCGCAAGGCUGAAACUUAAAGGAAUUGGCGGGGGAGCACCACAAGGGGUGAAGCUUGCGGUUUAAUUGGAUUCA